UCCAUAUUGUAUUUUAAUCUUUUUUAAAUCCAUCAGAUGGAUUAUCCAGGCUCAGGUUUUACUAAAUUAAAAUAUACUGAUGAUGUCUCCUACUAAUUCAGAGGGGUCAAUCCCAUCUUGACUCAUGCACCGACUUGACAAGUACUUGACUGUACCCAAAUAUCUUUCAUUAUUAAAUUAAAAACUUAAUUAGUUUGACACUAAAGUAUAGUGAGUUGCUUAUAAGCCACCGUGGUGAUCUCA
Molecule: long non-coding RNA, 243 nt
Filed under: Elaeis guineensis (African oil palm)
Lineage: Eukaryota; Viridiplantae; Streptophyta; Magnoliopsida; Arecales; Arecaceae
Description: long non-coding RNA (EGUI_LNC058288)
Source: RNAcentral